CCUAUGAGAUGGGCAGGGGAAUUUCUUUCCUGCCAUUCUGCCUAUGGGGACACAGAGACCUUGGAAUGUCAAGUGACUUCUCUGAGGCUACACGGCUAGGAGGUGGCAAAAGCAGGAAGGAACUGGAGCUAAUGUCUGCAUCUACAUCAUGAUUGGCCCAAGACACUAGCACCCUCAACCCCCAAGCUUUCUAUGUGGUAUUGGCAAGACAGCUCACUGCUGGAGAAACCAAUCCUGGAGGAAAUUCUGCCAUGAACAGGGAGCCUCACUCCCUCAACAGUGAUGAAUGACUUUCAUAAACAUGAAUAGUUUCUGAGAAGGUGUCCUCUUGCCUGGGGUCCUACUUCAGAUGGCCAAGUCAGAAGGACAUAAUCCCACUGCUGGGAAAUCCAGGCCAGGUCAGACUCCAUAACAUGCUUUAAAAUGUGAGAGCCCCAGUCUGCUAGCAUGGUCUCAGAGAUGGAGGGAGCCACAGCCUCUGAGUAGAUCCUGACCCAGCAUUCCAUGGCAGUAUCCUUUGGAAAGAAACUUUCACCAAACCUGAUGGGAACCUCUCCUCAAGGACUGCUAAGUCAGGAAAUGGGGUAUGCAGGGUCUGGAAGUUGGAAGCUGGCCGCAUCCCCCAAAUGAGCAGGUCCAAGACACUUAUUCAUACAUCAGGAAAACCAGGGUCCAGAGAUGGAGAGAAAUCCAAGGCUUGGAGCCACUUGGAUGGUCACCCAGGGCCAUCAGCAUCUACUAGCCAGGAGGAGGCUGGGACAUUCGGGAGGCAAUGGAGAGAAGGAAAUAGAAGGAAGAGGGCUGGGGCUCCCAGCAGUCUAAUUACAGGGUCCCAAGGCCCAGCAGUCUUUCAGGGAGAAAAAUCGGUCGGACUUGGACAAAUCAGCUGCACAGUGUUAACCUUCCAGAGACUGAACUCUCUCCCCAUUUCCAGGAAUCUAAUCUUUGAUGUAUCUUUGAAUAACUUUAAAAAAAAUAAAUCCUGAAUAAUCUUA
RNAcentral lists this long non-coding RNA (995 nucleotides) under Homo sapiens (human). RNAcentral describes it as "HSALNT0317988". Lineage: Eukaryota; Metazoa; Chordata; Mammalia; Primates; Hominidae. The record is from RNAcentral.